RNAcentral lists this ribosomal RNA (157 nucleotides) under Trichoderma inhamatum. RNAcentral describes it as "5.8S ribosomal RNA". The stretch from base 1 to 105 matches the Rfam family "5.8S ribosomal RNA", at positions 49 to 154 of the family's 154-position model. Rfam says of the family: 5.8S ribosomal RNA (5.8S rRNA) is a component of the large subunit of the eukaryotic ribosome. It is transcribed by RNA polymerase I as part of the 45S precursor that also contains 18S and 28S rRNA. Functionally, it is thought that 5.8S rRNA may be involved in ribosome translocation. The record is from RNAcentral. Lineage: Eukaryota; Fungi; Ascomycota; Sordariomycetes; Hypocreales; Hypocreaceae.
CGAAAUGCAUAAGUAAUGUGAAUUGCAGAAUUCAGUGAAUCAUCGAAUCUUUGAACGCACAUUGCGCCCGCCAGUAUUCUGGCGGGCAUGCCUGUCCGAGCGUCAUUUCAACCCUCGAACCCCUCCGGGGGGUCGGCGUUGGGGAUCGGCCCUGCCU